UCCACAGCAGCACUUCUGCACACU
This 24-nucleotide microRNA is filed under the name Oreochromis niloticus (Nile tilapia). RNAcentral describes it as "oni-miR-10709". The record is from miRBase by way of RNAcentral. Lineage: Eukaryota; Metazoa; Chordata; Actinopteri; Cichliformes; Cichlidae.